Molecule: long non-coding RNA, 992 nt
Filed under: Ananas comosus (pineapple)
Lineage: Eukaryota; Viridiplantae; Streptophyta; Magnoliopsida; Poales; Bromeliaceae
Description: long non-coding RNA (ACOM_LNC039888)
Source: RNAcentral
AUAGAGAUAAUCUAAUUCGAACUAAAUUAGAAUACUAUAAAUAGUACAAGUCAUUGGUAUUAUUAAGUUUUUGGUCUUUGGAUAAAGUGAUGUGCAAUUUGUAUGAUUAUGAUCCUCUAAGAUUAAGUGGAUGGUUUGUUGAAUAAUAUGAUCUAACGGAUAGAAAUUGUCAGAAAAGUAGACUUAAUAGCCGAAAACUUAAUAACACUAAAUAUUUGGUGCUAUCAACAGUAUUAUAGCUGGACUCAACUAAUUUUUUAAUAUAGUUUAAUUUUAUAAUCUGAUUUUUUUUUUGAAAUAGUAAUAAAGAGUAGAGUAGGAUAGUAAUUAAUGUAAUUUGUAAUAUAGAAGUAAUAACUGAGAGCAAAGAUAAAGGAUAAAAACAUUUCUUUCAUAGGUUUUUAAAUACUUUUUUCUACGGCGCUGCGUGCGUAACUAUAAGCGCACGUACGUGUGGCCGCGCGGGGGUAGGGAGAGAGAUAAAGGCACGUAGAGGGGACACGUACUCGUGGUGGGGCCAAGCGCACUUGUCGCAACGGGACGGGUCUGUGAGAAAAAAAUCUAAAAUAUACCAGAUAUAUUACUGAUCUAACAUUUUUUAUUUGUAAAAUUAUUCUCUAUGGUACCGUUUGGUUCGGGUAUAAAUAAGAACUAGCUAUUACAAGGAUAGGUAUAAGUAUUGGGAUAAGAAAAAUAGUGUUUGGAUGAAAAUUGAGUUGUUUUCGGAGAUAAAAAUAAUUUUAGAUAGUUUUAUAUAGAAAAUAGAGAUAUUGGUGGGGAUAACCGAGAACUAUUAUUCUUUGAUAAAAACUUAACGUUUGGAUAUAAAGAGGGGAUAAGGGCCUAUUCUUAUUCCUAUCCCCUAACCAAACGCUGCUUAUAAAUUGAUACAUCUCAUCAUAAUUAAAAAUAUAUAUUUUUAUUAUAUUAUUUUAAUAAAAAAUAUAAUUAAUUUAUUAUUGGUGAUAUGGUAUAAAUGUGACUGAGUUGUG